UACAGAGGGUGCAAGCGUUAAUCGGAAUUACUGGGCGUAAAGCGUGCGUAGGCGGUCAUGUAAGUCGGGUGUGAAAGCCCCGGGCUCAACCUGGGAAUUGCAUUCGAGACUGCAUGGCUAGGAUGCGGAAGAGGGAAGCGGAAUUUCCGGUGUAGCGGUGAAAUGCGUAGAUAUCGGAAGGAACACCAGUGGCGAAAGCGGCUUCCUGGUCCAGCAUCGACGUUCAGGCACGAAAGCGUGGGGAGCAAACAGG
RNAcentral lists this ribosomal RNA (253 nucleotides) under uncultured bacterium. Its description in RNAcentral is "partial 16S ribosomal RNA". It matches the Rfam family "Bacterial small subunit ribosomal RNA", at positions 524 to 776 of the family's 1533-position model. The record is from RNAcentral.